RNAcentral lists this non-coding RNA (121 nucleotides) under uncultured eukaryote. The record is from RNAcentral.
AAAAAAAAAACAAGGAAAAGGCCGUUUAAAACUCAAAAACUCAUUGAGUCUUCUUACUCUUUUGCCAAAAUAUGUCUCUCUCUUCGCCAGUCUUUUUUGCUUUCUUAUUUUUUCCAUUCAU